UGGGGAAUAUUGGACAAUGGGCGCAAGCCUGAUCCAGCCAUGCCGCGUGUGUGAAGAAGGCCUUCGGGUUGUAAAGCACUCUUGUUGGGGAAGAAAAGCGAUCGGUUAAUACCCGGUUGUUCUGACGGUACCCAAAGAAUAAGCACCGGCUAACUUCGUGCCAGCAGCCGCGGUAAUACGAAGGGUGCAAGCGUUACUCGGAAUUACUGGGCGUAAAGGGCGCGUAGGCGGCCUUCUAAGUCGAACGUGAAAUCCCUGGGCUCAACCCAGGAACUGCGUCCGAGACUGGGAGGCUAGAAUCCGGGAGAGGGAUGUGGAAUUCCAGGUGUAGCGGUGAAAUGCGUAGAUAUCUGGAGGAACAUCGGUGGCGAAGGCGGCAUCCUGGACCGGUAUUGACGCUGAGGCGCGAAAGCCAGGGGAGCAAA
Molecule: ribosomal RNA, 425 nt
Filed under: uncultured bacterium
Lineage: Bacteria
Description: bacterial SSU rRNA
Rfam family: Bacterial small subunit ribosomal RNA
Source: RNAcentral